RNAcentral lists this long non-coding RNA (1021 nucleotides) under Zonotrichia albicollis (white-throated sparrow). RNAcentral's name for it is "lncRNA (ENSZALG00000001761.1)". The record is from RNAcentral. Lineage: Eukaryota; Metazoa; Chordata; Aves; Passeriformes; Passerellidae.
UGACACGGGGCUGGUGGCUCUGGGGACAUUGGGGACACCAGGGGCCAGGUGUGUGUGUGUGUGUGUGUCACCUGCAGGCGCAGCAGGUAAUCCACGGUGCAGAUGAUGAUGUUGAUGGUGGUCGUGUUCCCCGUCUGCGUCCUCAGGUAGUUCUGGAAGUCUGAGGGGGGACAUUGGGGACACCCCGGGGUCACCUCGGUGUCACCUCGGUGUCACCUGGGUCCCCUCGUGUCCCCAGGGGUGUCCCCAGGUGUCCCCACCGUUGUUGUGGCCCUCGCAGAGCAGCUGCAGCAGCCGGAACAGGUCCUGGGUGAAUUCAUCGUCCGACAUCACCUUCUCCCCUGGGGGGACACGAGAGGGGACACGGGGACAGCGGGGUCACCGGGGGCACGGCUGGCACGGGGACACCAGAGAGUGGCAUGGGGACACACCCCAGGGGCACGGGGACAAUCUGAGGUGGCACAGGGACACCAGAGGUGGCACGGGGACAAUCUGAGGUGGCACAGGGACACCAGAGAGUGGCACAGGGACACCAGAGAGUGGCACGGGGACACACCCCAGGGGCACAGGGACAAUCUGAGGUGGCACAGGGACACCCCAAUAUGGCACAGGGACACCAAAGAGUGGCACAGGGACACUGGCAUAACACCAGAGAGUGGCACAGGGACACCCUGGCGUGACAGGGACACCAGAGAGUGGCACAGGGACAAUCUGAGGUGGCACAGGGACACCUCAAGGUGGCACAGAUACACCAGAGAGUGGCACAGGGACACCCCAGGAUGGCACGGGGACACCCUGAGAUCGCACAGGGACACCAGAGAGUGGCACAGCGACAAUCUGAGGUGGCACAGGGACACCACAGAGUGGCACAGGGACACUCUGGCAUGACAGGGACACCAGAGAGUGGCAUGGGGACAAUCCAAAGUGGCACAGGGACACCAGAGAGUGGCACAGGGACACGCUGGCGUGACAGGGACACCCCGAGAUGGCACCAGGACACCAGAGAGUGGCACAGGGACAC